This 400-nucleotide unclassified non-coding RNA is filed under the name uncultured fungus. RNAcentral describes it as "sequence contains ITS1". Lineage: Eukaryota; Fungi. The record is from RNAcentral.
AUGGACUACUGGGGUUUCUAAUCCUGUUUGCUCCCCACGCUGUCGCGCCUCAGCGUCAGCAACGGCCCAGCAGACCGCCUUCGCCACUGGUGUUCUUCCCGAUCUCUACGCAUUCCACCGCUACACCGGGAAUUCCAUCUGCCUCUACCGUGCUCCAGCCUGACAGUUUAGAAGGCAGCCUUGCGGUUGAGCCGCAAGAUUUCACCCCCUACUUAUCAGGCCGCCUACGCGCCCUUUACGCCCAAUGAAUCCGAACAACGCUUGAGACCUCUGUAUUACCGCGGCUGCUGGCACAGAGUUAGCCGUCUCUUCCUCUUCUGGUACUAUCAACUACCGAACAGUUAACUCGGUAGCAUUGUUCCCAAAUGACAGGAGUUUACAACCCGAAGACCUUCAUCCU